AUGAGUUUGUAUCACUGUGGUACACGUUCGGUGGAGGAACCAGACUGGAGGUUGGAAUUUGUAUUACUGUGGUACACGUUCGGUGGAGGAACCAGACUGGAGAUUGGAAGUGAUACUCGCCCCACCCUGACAGUGCUGCCCCCCUCCAGUGAGGACCUGAAGCAGGAGAAGGUUACCCUCAUGUGUCUGGCCAACAAGGGCUUCCCCUCAGACUGGACUCUGUCCUGGAAGCUGGACGGCAGCAGAACUAGCACCAGCUGGGAGGAGAGCAGGAGCUCCGGGGUGCUGCAGAAUGACGGCCUCUACAGCUGGAGCAGCACCCUGAGGCUCCCUGCAGACCAGUGGAGGAAGGUGGGCUCUGUGACCUGUGAGGCCUCCCAGGGCUCCCAGUGUGCAGUCACAGAGACACUGAGGAGAGACCAGUGCUUCUAAAAUGAAUCUGUUGUUGAUUUUACCUUUGCUUUCAUUUUUUCUUAUUACCAGCUUCUUGGUUUCAUUCCAAAUGUGCUUGAUAUUGUUUUGAAGUGGACUGAUUCAAUCUUAUAAGCAAUAAAUGUUUUACAAAUGA
Molecule: non-coding RNA, 568 nt
Organism: Poecilia latipinna (sailfin molly)
Lineage: Eukaryota; Metazoa; Chordata; Actinopteri; Cyprinodontiformes; Poeciliidae
Source: the annotation of a RefSeq genome assembly